Molecule: ribosomal RNA, 253 nt
Filed under: uncultured bacterium
Lineage: Bacteria
Description: partial 16S ribosomal RNA
Rfam family: Bacterial small subunit ribosomal RNA
Source: RNAcentral
UACGGAGGAUGCAAGCGUUAUCCGGAUUUACUGGGUUUAAAGGGUGCGUAGGCGGACAGGUCAGUCAGUGGUGAAAGCCCGCAGCUUAACUGCGGAACGGCCAUUGAUACUGCUUGUCUUGAGUACAGUUGAGGUGGGCGGAAUAUGUCAUGUAGUGGUGAAAUACUUAGAUAUGACAUAGAACACCGAUUGCGAAGGCAGCUCGCUAAACUGUUACUGACGCUGAGGCACGAAAGCGUGGGGAGCAAACAGG